This 30-nucleotide non-coding RNA is filed under the name Rattus norvegicus (Norway rat). The record is from RNAcentral. Lineage: Eukaryota; Metazoa; Chordata; Mammalia; Rodentia; Muridae.
UAGUGCUUUCGUAUGACCUUUAUUUAGAGG